This 246-nucleotide long non-coding RNA is filed under the name Panax ginseng (ginseng). RNAcentral's name for it is "long non-coding RNA (PGIN_LNC018591)". The record is from RNAcentral. Lineage: Eukaryota; Viridiplantae; Streptophyta; Magnoliopsida; Apiales; Araliaceae.
ACAAAUUAAAUGUCAUAAUGUACAAUAUAAACUUCGUACAUUCAGUCGAUCAAAAAAGAAUAAUACAAAUGUAGAACAAAAGAAGAAGAUAAUACAAAUGUCUUCACGCAUUAAAUAUCGUUCAAAUGAGGUUGUAACAAAAGAAUAAAACAUAUUAAAUAUAAAGUAUAUAUGUUGAUACUAAUAUGACUUAUGCAAAACAAAAAACGACCAUUUUUGAUGUAUUACAAUAACAGAAAGCUAAAC